GAUGAAGAACGUAGCGAAAUGCGAUAAGUAAUGUGAAUUGCAGAAUUCAGUGAAUCAUCGAGUCUUUGAACGCACAUUGCGCCCCCUGGUAUUCCGGGGGGCAUGCCUGUCCGAGCGUCAUUGCUGCCCUCAAGCACGGCUUGUGUGUUGGGCCUCCGUCCUCCUCCCGGGGGACGGGCCCGAAAGGCAGCGGCGGCACCGCGUCCGGUCCUCGAGCGUAUGGGGCUUCGUCACCCGCUCUUGUAGGCCCGGCCGGCGCUUGCCGACACAUCAAUCUUUUUUCCAGGUUGACCUCGGAUCAAGUAGGGAUACCCGCUGAACUUAAGCAUAUCAAUAAGCGGAGGA
Molecule: unclassified non-coding RNA, 345 nt
Filed under: soil metagenome
Description: partial contains 5.8S ribosomal RNA, internal transcribed spacer 2, and large subunit ribosomal RNA
Rfam family: 5.8S ribosomal RNA (bases 1-120)
Source: RNAcentral